AAAUUGAAGAGUUUGAUCAUGGCUCAGAUUGAACGCUGGCGGCAGGCCUAACACAUGCAAGUCGAGCGGUAGCACAGAGAGCUUGCUCUCGGGUGACGAGCGGCGGACGGGUGAGUAAUGUCUGGGAAACUGCCUGAUGGAGGGGGAUAACUACUGGAAACGGUAGCUAAUACCGCAUAACGUCGCAAGACCAAAGUGGGGGACCUUCGGGCCUCAUGCCAUCAGAUGUGCCCAGAUGGGAUUAGCUAGUAGGUGGGGUAACGGCUCACCUAGGCGACGAUCCCUAGCUGGUCUGAGAGGAUGACCAGCCACACUGGAACUGAGACACGGUCCAGACUCCUACGGGAGGCAGCAGUGGGGAAUAUUGCACAAUGGGCGCAAGCCUGAUGCAGCCAUGCCGCGUGUGUGAAGAAGGCCUUCGGGUUGUAAAGCACUUUCAGCGGGGAGGAAGGCGUUAAGGUUAAUAACCUUGUCGAUUGACGUUACCCGCAGAAGAAGCACCGGCUAACUCCGUGCCAGCAGCCGCGGUAAUACGGAGGGUGCAAGCGUUAAUCGGAAUUACUGGGCGUAAAGCGCACGCAGGCGGUCUGUCAAGUCGGAUGUGAAAUCCCCGGGCUCAACCUGGGAACUGCAUUCGAAACUGGCAGGCUAGAGUCUUGUAGAGGGGGGUAGAAUUCCAGGUGUAGCGGUGAAAUGCGUAGAGAUCUGGAGGAAUACCGGUGGCGAAGGCGGCCCCCUGGACAAAGACUGACGCUCAGGUGCGAAAGCGUGGGGAGCAAACAGGAUUAGAUACCCUGGUAGUCCACGCCGUAAACGAUGUCGAUUUGGAGGUUGUGCCCUUGAGGCGUGGCUUCCGGAGCUAACGCGUUAAAUCGACCGCCUGGGGAGUACGGCCGCAAGGUUAAAACUCAAAUGAAUUGACGGGGGCCCGCACAAGCGGUGGAGCAUGUGGUUUAAUUCGAUGCAACGCGAAGAACCUUACCUGGUCUUGACAUCCACAGAACUUAGCAGAGAUGCUUUGGUGCCUUCGGGAACUGUGAGACAGGUGCUGCAUGGCUGUCGUCAGCUCGUGUUGUGAAAUGUUGGGUUAAGUCCCGCAACGAGCGCAACCCUUAUCCUUUGUUGCCAGCGGUUAGGCCGGGAACUCAAAGGAGACUGCCAGUGAUAAACUGGAGGAAGGUGGGGAUGACGUCAAGUCAUCAUGGCCCUUACGACCAGGGCUACACACGUGCUACAAUGGCAUAUACAAAGAGAAGCGACCUCGCGAGAGCAAGCGGACCUCAUAAAGUAUGUCGUAGUCCGGAUUGGAGUCUGCAACUCGACUCCAUGAAGUCGGAAUCGCUAGUAAUCGUAGAUCAGAAUGCUACGGUGAAUACGUUCCCGGGCCUUGUACACACCGCCCGUCACACCAUGGGAGUGGGUUGCAAAAGAAGUAGGUAGCUUAACCUUCGGGAGGGCGCUUACCACUUUGUGAUUCAUGACUGGGGUGAAGUCGUAACAAGGUAACCGUAGGGGAACCUGCGGUUGGAUCACCUCCUUACCUUAAAGAA
Molecule: ribosomal RNA, 1550 nt
Filed under: Klebsiella pneumoniae
Lineage: Bacteria; Pseudomonadati; Pseudomonadota; Gammaproteobacteria; Enterobacterales; Enterobacteriaceae
Description: bacterial SSU rRNA
Rfam family: Bacterial small subunit ribosomal RNA
Source: RNAcentral